RNAcentral lists this ribosomal RNA (2416 nucleotides) under uncultured fungus. RNAcentral's name for it is "SSU rRNA". The stretch from base 1 to 1762 matches the Rfam family "Eukaryotic small subunit ribosomal RNA". Lineage: Eukaryota; Fungi. The record is from RNAcentral.
AAAGAUUAAGCCAUGCAUGUCUAAGUAUAAGCGAUUAUACGGCGAAACUGCGAAUGGCUCAUUACACAAGUUAUCGUUUAUUUGAUAGCACCUUACUACUUGGAUAACCGUGGUAAUUCUAGAGCUAAUACAUGCUGAAAAUCCCAACUCCGGAAGGGAUGUAUUUAUUAGAUUCAAAACCAAUGCCCUCCGGGCUCACUGGUGAUUCAUGAUAACUUCGCGGAUCGCACGGCCUUGUGCCGGCGAUGGUUCAUUCAAAUUUCUUCCCUAUCAACUUUCGAUGUUUGGGUAGUGGCCAAACAUGGUUGCAACGGGUAACGGAGGGUUAGGGCUCGACCCCGGAGAAGGAGCCUGAGAAACGGCUACUACAUCCAAGGAAGGCAGCAGGCGCGCAAAUUACCCAAUCCCGACUCGGGGAGGUAGUGACAAUAAAUACUGAUACAGGGCCCUUUCGGGUCUUGUAAUUGGAAUGAGUACAACUUAAAUCCCUUAACGAGGAACAAUUGGAGGGCAAGUCUGGUGCCAGCAGCCGCGGUAAUUCCAGCUCCAAUAGCGUAUAUUAAAGUUGUUGUGGUUAAAAAGCUCGUAGUUGAACCUCGGGCCUGGCUGGCCGGUCCGCCUCAUCGCGUGUACUGGCCCGGCCCGGGCCCCUCCCUCUGUGGAGCCCCAUGCCCUUCACUGGGCGUGGCGGGGAAGCAGGACUUUUUACUUUGAAAAAAUUAGAGUGCUCCAGGCAGGCCUAUGCUCAAAUACAUUAGCAUGGAAUAAUGAAAUAGGACGCGCGGUUCUAUUUUGUUGGUUUCUAGGACCGCCGUAAUGAUUAAUAGGGACAGUCGGGGGCAUCAGUAUUCGAUCGUCAGAGGUGAAAUUCUUGGAUCGAUUGAAGACUCACUACUGCGAAAGCAUUUGCCAAGGAUGUUUUCAUUAAUCAGGAACGAAAGUUAGGGGAUCGAAGACGAUCAGAUACCGUCGUAGCCUUAACCAUAAACUAUGCCGACUAGGGAUCGGACGAUGUUGUUUUUUUGACUCGUUCGGCACCUUACGAGAAAUCAAAGUGCUUGGGCUCCAGGGGGAGUAUGGUCGCAAGGCUGAAACUUAAAGAAAUUGACGGAAGGGCACCACCAGGGGUGGAGCCUGCGGCUUAAUUUGACUCAACACGGGGAAACUCACCAGGUCCAGACACAAUGAGGAUUGACAGAUUGAGAGCUCUUUCUUGAUUUUGUGGGUGGUGGUGCAUGGCCGUUCUUAGUUGGUGGAGUGAUUUGUCUGCUUAAUUGCGAUAACGAACGAGACCUUAACCUGCUAAAUAGCCCGCGUCGCUGCGGCGGCGCGCCGGCUUCUUAGAGGGACUAUCGGCUCAAGCCGAUGGAAGUUUGAGGCAAUAACAGGUCUGUGAUGCCCUUAGAUGUUCUGGGCCGCACGCGCGCUACACUGACGGAGCCAGCGAGUAACUCCCUUGGCCGGAAGGCCCGGGUAAUCUUGUUAAACUCCGUCGUGCUGGGGAUAGAGCAUUGCAAUUAUUGCUCUUCAACGAGGAAUCCCUAGUAAGCGCAAGUCAUCAGCUUGCGUUGAUUACGUCCCUGCCCUUUGUACACACCGCCCGUCGCUACUACCGAUUGAAUGGCUCAGUGAGGCGCCCGGACUGGCCCAGGGGGGGGUGGGCAACCGCUACCCAGGGCCGGAAAGCUCUCCAAACUCGGUCAUUUAGAGGAAGUAAAAGUCGUAACAAGUCUCCGUUGGUGAACCAGCGGAGGGAUCAUUACCGAGUCGUCCGACUCCCGAACCCCCCCAGUGAACCCCCUCGCAGGGGCCCCCUGCGAGGACGUUGCCUCGGCGGGUGAGCGCGGGGGCAGGGUGGCGGGUCCCGGGCAGCUCCCGCCCGUGGCCCACCCCACCCCUUUACCCGCCCGCCCGCCGCAGGGAGAGCAAACCCGAUCAUUUUCCAGUGUGUCCCUCUGAGUGUUGUACAGGAAGGAAUGAAUCCAAAACUUUCAACAACGGAUCUCUUGGCUCUGGCAUCGAUGAAGAACGCAGCGAAAUGCGAUAAGUAAUGUGAAUUGCAGAGUUCAGCGAAUCAUCGAAUCUUUGAACGCACAUUGCGCCCGCCAGUACUCUGGCGGGCAUGCCUGUCCGAGCGUCAUCUCGACCCCUCGGGUGGCCCGCCUCUCCUCCGGGCAGGGGGGGGGUUUAUGGGCCGGCCCGGCGUUGGGGGACGGCCGCCGACCCGAGCGCGCGCCGCCCCCGAAAUGCAGUGGCGACCCCCUCGCCGCGGCCUCCCUCUGCGUGUUAGUACGGUCACGAACCUCGCACCGGGAGCGCGGAGCCGGUCACGCCCGGCGGCGAUCCGAACCGAUCUGCCGCCCCCAUCCGCCAUGACGCUGACCUCGGAUCAGGUAGGAGUACCCGCCGAACUUAA